Long non-coding RNA from Lagenorhynchus albirostris (white-beaked dolphin), 4018 nucleotides. RefSeq lists it as uncharacterized. The transcript is spliced from 2 exons. The record is from RefSeq and is a predicted model, not a curated record. Lineage: Eukaryota; Metazoa; Chordata; Mammalia; Artiodactyla; Delphinidae.
GUUUACUUUUCAACACCAUAUCCAUGUUGACAGGCCCUGUGCACAAAAGAAUUCUCUGCUGAAAGCACAGUGCUAAUUGUUGAUGAUUGUUAAAAGCCAACAACCUUUUUUUCAUUUUUACCUCUCUUCAAUUGUUCAGGAAUCUCAUUCUUUUAUCUUUUUCUUUUUUUUUUUGUAGAUAGAGGAAUUUUAGCACUUAGGCACUCAAGAGAGAGAAAGAAGGACAAAGUGAUGAUUUUAUGUUCUCCUUUCUUUUUGACCUAACUCAGUGAGAGAAACUCGGAAAAAACUACUAACCUGUAUGGUGCCACCCCUUCUUGAUAUGCUAACAAUGAGAAAGUGGGUCCAAGGCAACUCCAUGUAGAUUUGGGCCAACUUUGGCCAAGAGCACAUCUCAUAGUACAUAUAUUGAUGGAAUAGUGCUGCCAUGUCGUAACCCCACUCCCUUGGGAAUUCUGUGAUCUACAGAAAGGCGGAAGAUGAGACAUAGGCCCUCUUACAUCCAUCCAUCCACCUGUAAAACCAACACAAACGUGAGGUCAGCUGCAAUGGCAGCCAGACUGCCUGGGGUAAACCUUUUAAGGAAGAUGAGAGGCUAAAAUAGGUUCAUCAGGUACAAGCUGGCUACCUAAUUCCCAUUUUGAUGGGGACAACCUACAGAUAAAUAGAAAGGGAUAGGGAGGGCAAUCUAGUUAGUGACACUUAUUGAAGAUCCUCUGGGUGAUGAGAAGUACAAGGGCAUAUAAUAUAAUGGAACAAUAAAUUUAUCAUUUGAGUGUAUAGUAUAUGAAAGGCAGUGUUGCACAGUAAUAGCAUAUUAAGAAUAAAUUUCAGGGACAUAAAGUGGAGCCAAAUAACACUAGUUGAAAAUCUCCCUUUCUUUGAUUUUAGAACAACAGUUCAACCUAAGACUUGAACUAGGAAGACAUUCUACAGUGGCAUUUAAAAGUGAAUUCUUAGAAAUAACGUGGUGUGGGCUUCACCAAUUUUACUGUGUAUGUUUCCCGUCUCUUCUGUUUUUCCUCUUAUUUCUCCUUUUUUUUCUUUAUAACUAACUUCACCUUGACUCCUCUUCAUGGUGCUCGAGAGUUCAUUUCCUCUUUUCAUCUUCCUGUCUGUUGUGCCAGAAUGUACCUACCAAUUUAACACAAAUGUCCCGUGGAAUACAAAAGUGGAAUUGGAUCACAGAAUUGAUUUUGAACUCAGAGAAGGCCUUGUGGAGAGCCGCUAUUGGUCAGCUGUCACAUCGCACACUGCCUAUUGGUCGUCCUUGGAUGUUGCCCUCUUUCUUUUAACCUUCAUGUACAAACAUGAGCACGAUAAUAGUGCAAAACCCAACUUUGAUCCAGUCUGAACUGUUGAAGGACAUUAAUGGCCCCAAACUGAUUUUUUUCUGUUAAAAUAUAUGUGUCAACAUACGGAAGUUUCAGGUUUAAGUAUGUUUCACUUUUGUUUAGGGUAAGAAAUAUUUGAAUUUAGAAGCACUUUAUUUUACUUUAAAAAACAAAGCAAAUGUUCCGUCUGAAAGAAGUUAUUUAUAGUUUUCAUCAUUUUAAGUAUGAGUCUGACAGAACCCCCUGCAGAGAAUCAAGCAAGACCUGGAAGUAAGGAGGACUUGGGUGGACUGCAAGGUCAUAGAUCACAAUCUAAUUUCUCCCAAAUAUAAAGGCAUAUUAAUGGGUUGAAUCUAAUGUAUUAACCAAAAUAUGUUAUAAAUCUAAAAUGAUCAAGGUCCAGGGUAUUCUACGUAAAGAUCACAAGGUGGUAUCAUUGUUUUCGAUUUCCAUGAAAGCUUCCAUUUCCACAAUUUCUUUGAAACAUGAGUGUAACAGAUUUUAAAUGUUUUGAAUUUAACUUGUUUAGAAAAACUAAUGCUAAAAUAGAAACAACAUUUUAACUAUUUAUAGUUUAUUACCUCUGACUAAUUGUUUUAUGUCAAUGUAUGAAACAUUACAUUUUUUUAAAUGUUUCCUUUGAACAAUUUAAGAACCACAUUUAUUUUCUAUAGUGUUAAGACCCUUUUUUCUCAGAACUCCAUCUUUUUACUCUUCAGAUGAAUAUAUAGACACUGUGGCAUACUUUCAGCAUUUUUUUCAUUAAAAAGUUGUAGUUUUACACAAAUAACACUAGUUCAAUUAUUUUGGAAAAAAAUGAACUUUUUAUUAUGUCCCGUGUACCUCAGAGAAAGCUAAAGUUUUCUAAACUUGACAUGGAAUACUCCAUAAUGGGUACAUUUAAUAAACUUUACUGGAAAAUUAGUAAACUUCUUUGGAGUAGGGAGUAUGACAACUAAAUUUUAAGUAUAUAAACGUCUGUGUGCCAACAAUUAACAUAUAAAAAGGGGAUGGAGUGCCACUAACAAAUUUUAUUUUUAAAGUGUUUAAGGAAUCGUAAUUGAGACAUAGACACAAUAGUUCAGGAUUCUGAGGCAUUGAAAGAGUUUCCUCAGCUGUAAUUUUUUCCACAGUGCUUUUCAUCUGAGGGGCUCAAAGUGCUUUGCGAUUUAAUAACCUAUGUAGUAGCUUCUUGAGGUAAGUAAAUGAGAGUUAUUCUCAUGUUACAUGUUAGUACACUAAGGCACCAAAACAUUUAAAGUGCCUUGAUUACAGAGCAAGUCAGAGCUCAGACUGAAGGCAGACCAUAUUCUUUUAUGUGCUGUUCAUUGAUAAUUCACAUGUGACCUCUUGUUUUGCAAACAGUAAUAAUAACAGAAGUUGCAAUUCAUAAUUUGGAGAAAUGACUGUGAAGCCAGUACUUUACCCUACUCGUCAUAUACAUUCUUGGGUUCUCACACUCAAAGGAGGAGUUACUUAGAGGGGAUCAGUAGCCAUCUCUGCCACAACCAACCCAUACUUCUGAGAGGCUUCCACUGGGUUCCACUUAAGGUGCUGUCUUUGCUUAUCUUAAGCUCCCCAGGAAUCGUCAAACUGGGAGCAAAGUUGGUCGGUCGUACCUCUCACCUUCUCCUUUCUUUUUAAGAUGAUAGAAUCUUUGGAUUACUUGUAGGUUUUACUCGGCACUGUCAGUCCUCUAUCUGUUUUGGCCUUUCAUUGAAUUUGCACAACAUAAAGCACUUCUUUUUAGUGCUUACAAAGAUCCCAAGGCUCCAUGCCCAGAUACGUGACUCACUAAGAAACUCUUGCUAUAAAAGGCUUUUGAUGCAAUCUUAGCAAAGCUGAAGCAAUGUCUUUCGAAUUGAGAGAUUCCUGUGAACUCAGGUCAUUCUCAUACCCUGUGUAUUUCGUAGGUCUAUUUAGUUCUCAGGAGAACUUAAACUCAUAUCCCAUAUGACUUUAUCAUUAAAGGUAUGUGAGCAUUUGGGUGGUAUGACACUCAAAUGCCUAAGAGCUUUAAGGGAUUCAUUCUCUUUUUUUUUUUUUUGGCUGCUCUGGGUCUUCGUGCGGCUUGCAGCUUCUCUAGUUGCGGGCUUAGUUGCGGUAUGUGGGAUUUUAGUUCCCCAACCAUGGAUUGGACCUGGACGCCCUGCAUUGGAAGCGUGGAGUCUCAACCACUGGACCACUAGGGAAGUCCCAAGGGAUUCAUUCUUAACCAUUAGAAUGUGAAGAGCCCCUUUUACCUGAGGAGUGAAAACCUAGCAAACCUUUUCAUUUGAUAUAGAGUAAAAAGAAAAGUAUAUUCCCAUAGCUAUAGGAAUAUAUCUGCUUCCCUUUUUUCAUAUUGAGGAAAAAAAGCCAAUUUAACCACAUGGAAGUUAUUUGAGUUCUUGAAAACAACAUUCAAAACCCCCUUUUCAACAUGAGAUAUUCUGGAUUAUUGGAUAGGGGUUUUGUUUUCAAUUCAUUAUUUCAUCAAUAGAGAUGGUGAUUUUGGUUUCACAGUACUCUUGUUUCCAUGUCUCUGCAUGUUAUCAUGGAAUGUACUUGUAUAUACUCAAGUAAUAUACAGAGUAUGUGUAAUUCUAGCUUGACUUAGAAGCUGAGUCAGUUACUGAGUAAUAUUUUGCAACUUUAUUCCAGCAAGUACUAAAUUUUUGAUACCAUUAAAAUUUUAUUCUCUA